This 475-nucleotide ribosomal RNA is filed under the name uncultured bacterium. RNAcentral's name for it is "SSU rRNA". It matches the Rfam family "Bacterial small subunit ribosomal RNA", at positions 26 to 518 of the family's 1533-position model. The record is from RNAcentral.
AGGACGAACGCUGGCGGCGUGCUUAACACAUGCAAGUCGAGCGGAAAGGCCCUUCGGGGUACUCGAGCGGCGAACGGGUGAGUAACACGUGAGCAACCUGCCCUUAGCUCCGGGAUAGCUCCGGGAAACCGGAAUUAAUACCGGAUACGACCACGGCCGACAUCUGCUGUGGUGGAAAGGAUUCCGGCUAAGGAUGGGCUCGCGGCCUAUCAGCUAGUUGGUGGAGUAACGGCCCACCAAGGCGACGACGGGUAGCCGGCCUGAGAGGGCGACGGCCACGACGUCGGACUGAGACACGGCCCAGACUCCUACGGGAGGCAGCAGUGGGGAAUAUUGCGCAAUGGGCGAAAGCCUGACGCAGCGACGCCGCGUGGGGGAUGAAGGCCUUCGGGUUGUAAACCCCUUUCAGCAGGGACGAAGCGAAAGUGACGGUACCUGCAGAAGAAGCGCCGGCUAACUACGUGCCAGCAGCCGC